GUGGGGAAUCUUGCGCAAUGGGCGAAAGCCUGACGCAGCCAUGCCGCGUGAAUGAUGAAGGUCUUAGGAUUGUAAAAUUCUUUCACCGGGGACGAUAAUGACGGUACCCGGAGAAGAAGCUCCGGCUAACUUCGUGCCAGCAGCCGCGGUAAUACGAAGGGGGCUAGCGUUGCUCGGAAUUACUGGGCGUAAAGGGCGCGUAGGCGGACAGCUUAGUCAGAGGUGAAAGCCAAGGGCUCAACCAUGGAAUUGCCUUUGAUACUGGCUGUCUUGAGUUUGGGAGAGGUGAGUGGAACUUCGAGUGUAGAGGUGAAAUUCGUAGAUAUUCGGAAGAACACCAGUGGCGAAGGCGACUCACUGGCCCAAUACUGACGCUGAGGCGCGAAAGCGUGGGGAGCAAACAGGAUUAGAUACCCGGGUAGUCC
RNAcentral lists this ribosomal RNA (425 nucleotides) under uncultured bacterium. RNAcentral describes it as "partial 16S ribosomal RNA". It matches the Rfam family "Bacterial small subunit ribosomal RNA", at positions 354 to 796 of the family's 1533-position model. The record is from RNAcentral.